UACGGGAGGCAGCAGUGGGGAAUAUUGCACAAUGGGCGAAAGCCUGAUGCAGCGACGCCGCGUGAGUGAUGAAGUAUUUCGGUAUGUAAAGCUCUAUCAGCAGGGAAGAUAAU
RNAcentral lists this ribosomal RNA (113 nucleotides) under uncultured rumen bacterium. RNAcentral's name for it is "partial 16S ribosomal RNA". It matches the Rfam family "Bacterial small subunit ribosomal RNA", at positions 340 to 452 of the family's 1533-position model. The record is from RNAcentral.